UCGCGGCGAUGGUUGUUCCGCGGGUAAGGGUGUAGGGCGAGGUGUAGGCAAAUCCGCACCUCAUGUGCCUGAGACCUGACACGGACCCGUAAGGGGAAGUCGGUGAUCCUAUGCUGCCAAGAAAAUCUUCUAGCGAGGUUCUAGCCGCCCGUACCCCAAACCGACUCAGGUGGUUAGGUAGAGAAUACCAAGGCGAUCGAGUGAAUCGUGGUUAAGGAAUUCGGCAAAAUACCCCCGUAACUUCGGGAGAAGGGAGGCCCAGAGGGUGACGGGACUUGCUCCCCGAGCCUGAACGGCCGCAGAGACCAGGGAGAAGCGACUGUUUACUAAAAACACAGGUCCGUGCCAAGUCGCAAGACGAUGUAUACGGACUGACGCCUGCCCGGUGCUGGAACGUUAAGGGGACCGGUUAGCCUCACGGCGAAGCUGAGAACUUAAGCGCCAGUAAACGGCGGUGGUAACUAUAACCAUCCUAAGGUAGCGAAAUUCCUUGUCGGGUAAGUUCCGACCUGCACGAAUGGCGUAACGACUUCUCCACUGUCACAACCACGAACUCGGCGAAAUUGCACUACGAGUAAAGAUGCUCGUUACGCGCAGAAGGACGGAAAGACCCCGGGACCUUUACUACAGCUUGGUAUUGGUGUUCGGUACGGCUUGUGUAGGAUAGGUGGGAGACUGUGAAGCUGACACGCCAGUGUCGGUGGAGUCAACGUUGAAAUACCACUCUGGUCGUUCUGGAUAUCUAACCUAGGUCCGUAAUCCGGAUCAGGGACAGUGCCUGGUGGGUAGUUUAACUGGGGCGGUUGCCUCCUAAAAGGUAACGGAGGCGCCCAAAGGUUCCCUCAGCCUGGUUGGCAAUCAGGUUUCGAGUGUAAGUGCACAAGGGAGCUUGACUGUGAGACUGACAAGUCGAACAGGGACGAAAGUCGGGACUAGUGAUCCGGCGGUGGCUUGUGGAAGCGCCGUCGCUCAACGGAUAAAAGGUACCCCGGGGAUAACAGGCUGAUCUUGCCCAAGAGUCCAUAUCGACGGCAUGGUUUGGCACCUCGAUGUCGGCUCGUCGCAUCCUGGGGCUGGAGUAGGUCCCAAGGGUUGGGCUGUUCGCCCAUUAAAGCGGUACGCGAGCUGGGUUUAGAACGUCGUGAGACAGUUCGGUCCCUAUCCUCUGCGCGCGCAGGAAACUUGAGAAGGGCUGUCCCUAGUACGAGAGGACCGGGAUGGACGAACCUCUGGUGUGUCAGUUGUUCUGCCAAGAGCACCGCUGAUUAGCUACGUUCGGGAGUGAUAACCGCUGAAAGCAUCUAAGCGGGAAGCAUGCUUCAAGAUGAGGUUUCCAUGGGGUUUACCCCGAGAGGCUCCCAGCUAGACUACUGGGUUGAUAGGCCGGGUGUGGAAGUGCGGUAACGCAUGGAGCUGACCGGUACUAAUAAGCCGAUAACUUGACC
Molecule: ribosomal RNA, 1445 nt
Filed under: metagenome
Description: bacterial LSU rRNA
Rfam family: Bacterial large subunit ribosomal RNA
Source: RNAcentral